UGGGGAAUUGUUCACAAUGGGCGCAAGCCUGAUGACGCAACGCCGCGUGGGGGAUGAAGGCCUUCGGGUCGUAAACCCCUGUCGAAUGGGACGAAAAGCCCGCGAUUUAACAAAACGCGGGACUGACGGUACCGUUAAAGGAAGCCACGGCUAACUCUGUGCCAGCAGCCGCGGUAAUACAGAGGUGGCAAGCGUUGUUCGGAAUUACUGGGCGUAAAGGGCGCGUAGGCGGCCUUCUAAGUCAGACGUGAAAUCCCCCGGCUUAACCUGGGAACUGCGUCUGAUACUGGGAGGCUUGAGUAUGGGAGAGGGAUGUAGAAUUCCAGGUGUAGCGGUGAAAUGCGUAGAUAUCUGGAGGAAUACCGGUGGCGAAGGCGGCAUCCUGGACCAUAACUGACGCUGAGGCGCGAAAGCUAGGGGAGCAAACGG
This 429-nucleotide ribosomal RNA is filed under the name uncultured bacterium. Its description in RNAcentral is "bacterial SSU rRNA". It matches the Rfam family "Bacterial small subunit ribosomal RNA", at positions 355 to 775 of the family's 1533-position model. The record is from RNAcentral.